RNAcentral lists this long non-coding RNA (483 nucleotides) under Naja naja (Indian cobra). RNAcentral's name for it is "lncRNA (ENSNNAG00000018190.1)". The record is from RNAcentral. Lineage: Eukaryota; Metazoa; Chordata; Lepidosauria; Squamata; Elapidae.
UAAUUUUGGUUGUUAAUGUGUAUGUUAAAAGUAAUAUACUAAAUACAGCAUAAUAUUUAUUUUAGGCUGCACAGGAAAAAGAUUUUUCUCACAAACAAAAUUCUACCACAAGAUUUCAAAACAAUCAAGAAAUAAAUGCUGAGAAUGAAGUACCUUUAGAUGAGGGUUUUGAAUUUUUUACAUCAACUUUUGAAGACCACUCCAAUAUGAAAGAACUUGAUACAAAUGUUGGACAGAAAUCAACAGAAGGCUGCAUUCAAAACAUCUGUAGCUUAAAUGAGCAAACUCCACUGCUUAUCCAUGUGAAAGAAAUGUUGACAGAAUUACUUGAAGUAAAAUCUCCUGCCUGUAAUUUCAAUAAAGUAGACAAGGAAAAAGGAUGGAACCAACUCUUUAUUCCAAGCACAUCACCAGGUGAUAUAAAUUUCCAAAGAUAAUAUAACAUUGAUACUGUUUUAUAGACAUAAAUAUAAAUAUUAUGUC